AUACUUUAUGCAUUUGGUACAUUA
This 24-nucleotide non-coding RNA is filed under the name Arabidopsis thaliana (thale cress). Lineage: Eukaryota; Viridiplantae; Streptophyta; Magnoliopsida; Brassicales; Brassicaceae. The record is from RNAcentral.